GACGAACGCUGGCGGCGUGCUUAACACAUGCAAGUCGAACGGUAAGGCCCUUCGGGGUACACGAGUGGCGAACGGGUGAGUAACACGUGGGUGAUCUGCCCUGCACUUCGGGAUAAGCCUGGGAAACUGGGUCUAAUACCGGAUAGGACCACUGCCUGCAUGGGUGGUGGUGGCAAGCUUUUGCGGUGUGGGAUGGGCCCGAGGCCUAUCGGCUUGUUGGUGGGGUGAUGGCCUACCAAGGAGACGACGGGUAGCCGGCCUGGGAGGGUGACCGGCCACACUGUGACUGGGGUACGGCCCAGACGCCUACGGGGGGCAGCAGUGGGGAGUAUUGCACAAUGGUCGCAAGCCUGAUGCAGCGACGCCGCGUGAGGGAUGACGGCCUUCGGGUUGUAAACCUCUUUCAGCACCGACGAAGCGCAAGUGACGGUAGGUGCAGAAGAAGGACCGGCCAACUACGUGCCAGCCGCCGCCGUAA
Molecule: ribosomal RNA, 478 nt
Filed under: uncultured bacterium
Lineage: Bacteria
Description: partial 16S ribosomal RNA
Rfam family: Bacterial small subunit ribosomal RNA
Source: RNAcentral